This 74-nucleotide transfer RNA is filed under the name Holosporales bacterium. RNAcentral's name for it is "tRNA-Gln". It matches the Rfam family "tRNA". From Rfam's summary of the family: Transfer RNA (tRNA) molecules are approximately 80 nucleotides in length. Lineage: Bacteria; Pseudomonadati; Pseudomonadota; Alphaproteobacteria; Holosporales. The record is from RNAcentral.
UGGGGGAUAGUUUAGAGGUAGAACUGCCGGCUCUGGACCGGCCAACCUUGGUUCGAAUCCAGGUCCCCCAGCCA